AUGCUCACGUUGGAAACACAUUUAUUAAAAUUGGAACGAUACAGAGAUGACUAGCAUGGCCCAUGUGCAAGGAUGACAUGCAAAUUCGUGAAGUGUUCCAUUUUUUU
This is a small nuclear RNA of Ochotona curzoniae (black-lipped pika), 107 nucleotides long. Lineage: Eukaryota; Metazoa; Chordata; Mammalia; Lagomorpha; Ochotonidae. The record is from RefSeq and is a predicted model, not a curated record.